UACGUAGGUGGCAAGCGUUGUCCGGACUUACUGGGCGUAAAGGGCGCGUAGGCGGCCCGCUAAGUCGAACGUGAAAUCCCCGAGCUCAACUCGGGAACUGCGUCCGAUACUGGUGGGCUUGAAUCCGGGAGAGGGAUGCGGAAUUCCAGGUGUAGCGGUGAAAUGCGUAGAUAUCGAGAGGAACACCAGUGGCGAAGGCGAGUCUCUGGACGACUCCUGACACUGAGGCACGAAAGCUGGGGGAGCAAACAGG
Molecule: ribosomal RNA, 253 nt
Filed under: uncultured bacterium
Lineage: Bacteria
Description: partial 16S ribosomal RNA
Rfam family: Bacterial small subunit ribosomal RNA
Source: RNAcentral